AUUUCAUAACUCAAAAUGAAUUAACGGGGGCCCGCACAAGCGGUGGAGCAUGUGGUUUAUUUAGAUGCAACGCGAAAAACCUUACCUAGCCUAACAUCCAAUGAACCUUUCAGAGAUAGAUAAGUGCCUUCGGGAACAUAAGACAGGUGUUGCAUGGCUGUCGUCAGAUCGUGUCGUGAAAUGUUAGGAUAAGUCCCACACUAGCGCAACCCUUAUCCUUUGUUACCAGCACGUUAUGGUGGGAACUCUAAGGAGAUUGCCGGUGACAAACCGGAGGAAGGUGGGGAUGAUGUCAAGUCAUCAUGGCCCUUACGCCUAGGGCUACAUACGUGCUACAAAGUCGGUACAGAGAGUAUCCAAGCCGCGAGAUCGAGCUAAACCCCCACAUGUCCAUCUAGUCCGGAAGGGAGUAUGCAACCCGGUUGCACGAAGUCGGAAUCUCCAGGCUCCGUGAACACAGAAGGGCCAACCCUUCUUUC
This 479-nucleotide ribosomal RNA is filed under the name Bacillus sp. PCSIR-NL22. RNAcentral describes it as "bacterial SSU rRNA". It matches the Rfam family "Bacterial small subunit ribosomal RNA", at positions 891 to 1358 of the family's 1533-position model. Lineage: Bacteria; Bacillati; Bacillota; Bacilli; Caryophanales; Bacillaceae. The record is from RNAcentral.